Molecule: ribosomal RNA, 456 nt
Filed under: uncultured archaeon
Lineage: Archaea
Description: bacterial SSU rRNA
Rfam family: Archaeal small subunit ribosomal RNA
Source: RNAcentral
AGGUUAAUCCGAGUGGUUUCUGCUAAAGAAACCUUUUGACAGUCCUAGAAACACUGUUGAAUAAGGGGUGGGCAAGUUCUGGUGUCAGCCGCCGCGGUAAAACCAGCACCUCAAGUGGUCAGGAUGAUUAUUGGGCCUAAAGCAUCCGUAGCCGGCUCAGUAAGUUUUCGGUUAAAUCUGUGCGCUCAACGUACAGGCUGCCGGGAAUACUGCAGAGCUAGGGAGUGGGAGAGGUAGACGGUACUCGGGAGGAAGUGGUAAAAUGCUUUGAUCUUUCGAUGACCACCUGUGGCGAAGGCGGUCUACCAGAACACGUCCGACGGUGAGGGAUGAAAGCUGGGGGAGCAAACCGGAUUAGAUACCCGGGUAGUCCCAGCUGUAAACUAUGCAAACUCAGUGAUGCAUUGGCUUGUGGCCAAUGCAGUGUUGCAGGGAAGCCGUUAAGUUUGCCGCCUG